CUGUCUCUUGCUUCAACAGUUUGGACGGGACAG
Non-coding RNA from Myotis brandtii (Brandt's bat), 33 nucleotides. The record is from Rfam. Lineage: Eukaryota; Metazoa; Chordata; Mammalia; Chiroptera; Vespertilionidae.